This 450-nucleotide ribosomal RNA is filed under the name uncultured bacterium. RNAcentral's name for it is "bacterial SSU rRNA". It matches the Rfam family "Bacterial small subunit ribosomal RNA", at positions 330 to 794 of the family's 1533-position model. The record is from RNAcentral.
CCCAGACUCCUACGGGAGGCAGCAGUGGGGAAUAUUGCACAAUGGGGGAAACCCUGAUGCAGCGACGCCGCGUGAGCGAAGAAGUAUUUCGGUAUGUAAAGCUCUCUCAGCAGGGAAGAAAAAAAUGACGGUACCUGAGUAAGAAGCACCGGCUAAAUACGUGCCAGCAGCCGCGGUAAUACGUAUGGUGCAAGCGUUAUCCGGAUUUACUGGGUGUAAAGGGAGCGUAGGCGGCGCGUUAAGUCUGAUGUGAAAACCCGAGGCUCAACCACGGGAGUGCAUUGGAAACUGGCGGGCUGGAGUGCCGGAGAGGUAAGCGGAAUUCCUAGUGUAGCGGUGAAAUGCGUAGAUAUUAGGAGGAACACCAGUGGCGAAGGCGGCCUGCUGGACGACAACUGACGGUGAGGCGCGAAAGCGUGGGGAGCGAACAGGAUUAGAUACCCCAGUAAC